UUUCCGGUUGAUCCUGCCGGACCCGACUGCUAUCAGAGUGGGCUUAAGCCAUGCGAGUCAACGUAGCAAUACGUGGCAUACGGCUCAGUAACACGUAGUCAACAUGCCCAAGGGAUGUGAAUAACCUCGGGAAACUGAGGAUAAAACGCAAUAGGUCAUGACUCCUGGAAUGGUUCAUGACCAAAAUCUAUAUGGCCUCUGGAUUGGACUGCGGCCGAUCAGGCUGUUGGUGAGGUAAUGGCCCACCAAACCUGUAACCGGUACGGGCUCUGAGGAGGAACCCGGAGAUGGGCACUGAGACAAGGGCCCAGGCCCUAUGGGGCGCAGCAGGCGCGAAACCUCUGCAAUAGGCGAAGGCCUGACAGGGUUACUCUGAGUGACUUUCGCUAAGAAAGUCUUUUGGCACCUCUAAAAAGGGUGCAGAAUAAGGGGUGGGCAAGUCUGGUGUCAGCCGCCGCGGUAAUACCAGCACCCCGAGUGGUCGGGACGAUUAUUGGGCCUAAAGCAUCCGUAGCCGGUUCUGCAAGUCCCCCGUUAAAUCCAGCUGCUCAACAGAUGGGCCGCGGAGGAUACUACAGAGCUAGGAGGCAGGAGAGGCAA
RNAcentral lists this ribosomal RNA (600 nucleotides) under uncultured archaeon. RNAcentral describes it as "bacterial SSU rRNA". It matches the Rfam family "Archaeal small subunit ribosomal RNA", at positions 1 to 611 of the family's 1478-position model. The record is from RNAcentral.